GACGAACGCUGGCGGCGUGCUUAACACAUGCAGGUCGAGCGAUGAAACACCCUCGGGUGCGGAUUAGCGGCGAACGGGUGAGGAACACGUGAGGAAUCUGCCUUCCACUCUGGGAUAACUCCGGGAAACCGGGGCAAAUACCAGAUACUUUCAACUGGCGGCAUCACCGGGUGAAGAAUGUUUUUCGGUGGAAGAUGACCUCGCGGCCUAUCAGCUUGUUGGUGAGGUAAAGGCUUACCAAGGCGACGACGGGUAGGCGGCCUGAGAGGGCGACCGGCCACACUGGGACUGAGACACGGCCCAGACUCCUACGGGAGGCAGCAGUGGGGAAUAUUGGGCAAUGGAGGAAACUCUGACCCAGCGACGCCGCGUGAGGGAUGAAGGCCUUCGGGUUGUAAACCUCUUUCAGCAGGGAAUAAGCGAAAGUGAAGGUACCUGCAGAAGAAGCACCGGCUAACUAUGUGCCAGCCGCCGCGGUAA
RNAcentral lists this ribosomal RNA (480 nucleotides) under uncultured bacterium. Its description in RNAcentral is "partial 16S ribosomal RNA". It matches the Rfam family "Bacterial small subunit ribosomal RNA", at positions 28 to 523 of the family's 1533-position model. The record is from RNAcentral.